GAUGAACGCUGGCGGCGUGCCUAAUACAUGCAAGUCGAGCGAACAGACGAGGAGCUUGCUCCUCUGACGUUAGCGGCGGACGGGUGAGUAACACGUGGAUAACCUACCUAUAAGACUGGGAUAACUUCGGGAAACCGGAGCUAAUACCGGAUAAUAUAUUGAACCGCAUGGUUCAAUAGUUAAAGACGGUUUUGCUGUCACUUAUAGAUGGAUCCGCGCCGCAUUAGCUAGUUGGUAAGGUAACGGCUUACCAAGGCGACGAUGCGUAGCCGACCUGAGAGGGUGAUCGGACACACUGGAACUGAGACACGGUCCAGACUCCUACGGGAGGCAGCAGUAGGGAAUCUUACGCAAUGGGCGAAAGCCUGACGGAGCAACGCCGCGUGAGUGAUGAAGGUCUUCGGAUCGUAAAACUCUGUUAUUAGGGAAGAACAAAUGUGUAAGUAACUAUGCACGUCUUGACGGUACCUAAUCAGAAAGCCACGGCUAACUACGUG
Molecule: ribosomal RNA, 497 nt
Filed under: uncultured bacterium
Lineage: Bacteria
Description: partial 16S ribosomal RNA
Rfam family: Bacterial small subunit ribosomal RNA
Source: RNAcentral